AAACUGUUGACUGUCCUAGGUCUCUAAUUCCACAGUAACUCAUAAAAGGAAAUGUACAAGGAGAGAUGCUACCUUUUACAAGAAUAGGGACUAUUGGAACAGAGAGGAGGUGGAUAAGCAAGUACGUGGUUCAUAAACUACACUAACCUAAGGGGGUCUACAGGCCUACAUGGUUAUAGAGGAAUUCUUGAAAGGGCAUAGCUAUACAUAUCCAUGAACUUCUGUCUAGUGUCUCUCUCUUUGUACUUACUGGGACAUUAAAAGGACAUAUUUUGGGUUCCCUUUUAUAAAUCCAAGCUUUCAUAUUUAUUCCCAUUUAUACAGUCUUCCUAUCCAAUAAAACACUAUGGCACUUUUAUGAUUCUACCAACUAUAGUAAUAGAGUUUCAAGAAAUUUUUAUUAUCUUAUCAUUCAAGGGAUUGAAUUACCAUCAUGGGCUAAAAUAAUAAGCUCUUACAUACUCCUUUCUUUGCCACAAUUCAAAUUCCAUUUGGCUUUUUGUUAGAUAUAUGCAAGCCACAUUAGGCACUGUCGCCAUAAUUAUGCACUGAAACAGAGUGCUCUCUGUUUUAUCAUAAAGAUGAUUUAAAGAGACAAAUCUGGGUUUUUAAAUAUUUCAAAUUAGAAUAAUUAUCUGGAAAUUUUAAACAAAUCAUGUCAUCAUGCCCCUUCAUACCAUAUGGGGAUAAAUAUUCUUGAUAAAUAAAACAGCCAAUAGGAAAUAUGAAGUAAAUAUGGGGAUAAAAACUCUUAAGAUUAUAUGUAAAACUUUUGCAGUUCUAAAAACAGUGGAAUAUAUUGCCAAAGAACAAGUGAAAGAUUGGACCUCAAUAAAAUCUGGAAAAAAAAUCCAACAUUUUAAAAGUCAGAAAAUAAACUAGGUAAAAUUUGCUUGAAAAACGUUGUCAGAUAAAAUUUUAUUAUGAAUAAUACAGAGUGCAUACUAAUUAACAAGAUAAGUAAUUUGGCAAUAUGUAUCAAGAGACAUAAAAAACAAUCAAUACUACCUCAUUUGCAGCCCAUAAUUGUACUUUCAGGAAUCAGAAGGAAGAAGGCAAAAUGCACAAAAUGGAUGGAACUCAUGACAUACCAGAGACUCGAGCCACAGCACUGACAAUUCCAGAUACUUGACCCUAACUCACAAAACACCCAUUUUAAGCAAGUUGAAUCCUGUGACCUUACAGAGUUCCAAGAGUCUAAAAUUAUCCUGGUAGUUAACAGGCUAUGAAGCCAAGAGGGAAGAGGGAGGGUCUGAGCCCACAGGACAAUGAUGCAGGGUAAGUUGAAAUCAAGAACCAAGAAGACAGUCUAACAGAAGCACUCAACAAAAGGUAUGAUCUGCAUCAACUGGCAGGCACCCAGUUCUACACUUAAGAGGCAAAGAGAGUUUGUUUGAUCUGCCUGACACUGUUACCAGUCAUAGAUUACUUCCCUGUUUUCAGAAAGAUAAUAAGGAGGUAGAAAGAAAGGAGAUGGAAAACAGGAGGCACUGGGUUGAUGCCAGCUGUUUCAAGAGCUUUCUAAAAGGGCCCUGUGCAGAGCUCCCAGUGGGGCUCAGCGAUUUAAGAACCCACCAUAGUGUCCAUGUGGAUGAGGGUUCGAUCCCUGGCCUCAUGCAGUGGGUUGAGUGUUCAGUGUUCUGCAAGGGGCAUGUAGGUCACAGAUGCUGCUCAGAUCUGGUAUUGCUGUGGCUGUGGCACAGGCCAGCAGCUGCAGCUCCAAUUCAACUCCUAGCCUGGGAACUUCCAUUUACAGCAGGGGCAGCCCUAAAAAAAGAAAAAGGAAAUAAAAAUAAAAGGGCCCUGUAGCUUUUCAAGGGAUUGGGAGUGGGGAGAUACCAGGAGACACUGAGCUGCUUAGAAGGAAAGAAAAGCUUAUAGGUAUUAACCUGGUUGAUGGCACUUUAGGGAUUUGUAUUUUCUUCUCUAUACCUUUCAUCCCUUCCAAGGUUAAAACAAAUACAGCAAUGUCCAUUUUUUAUAAUCAGAAAAACUCAUAAAACUUUAAAACAUUCUUCCACAUUUAGCUUGAAAUUUUGAUUCUGCCUUGGUAUUCCUUAGGAGAAAAGAAUUAUCUAAAAUAAUGCUUUGUAAGAGAUUAAGCAUUAAUAUUGUGAAAGGGCAAUAACUACAGAAGAAUGUAUUCUCUUUUUAUCAAUAGUCUGUGCUACUAAAGUCCUAUGAGAAUGCUAGACACCAGGCAAUAAACACAAUUUCUUUUCUAUCUCAGUCCCAUUCAUACAAGCACGUUUUGUUACAUUUUCCAAGGACAACAUUUGGGAAAGAAAUAAUAAAGAGAUAAUAGAGCAAAUGCAUAUUUUUAAAUAAGAUUAUGAGAAAUGCUUUUGCAGUAAACAAAAGCAAAAGAAAAUCCCCAAGACACUGAAGCAAUUUGUUGGAGAAAAUGAAUGAAUGAUCCAUAAUAUAUUCUGUAGCCUUUAGGAGCUGAUUUAAAAUACUUUCUAUAUAUCUAUUGACUAAUUGUAAAUAUUGAGAAUUCUGUCAAUUUAACAGGGUAAAAGCAAGCUGAAAUAAGCUACGUCUUUCAUUGGGAGAAAAUUGAUGAAGAAACAAUUUAACAAAACAAUGGAGGAGAUUUUUAUAUAUGAUAGUACAAAACAGUAGAAAAGUCUUAUUUAAAACAUAGUGGCUAUAAAUUAUUUUAUAAGCAUCUUUAGAGAGGACCCAGGUGCAACACUCACUUCUUUCUCACUGUUAAAUGGACUGUCAUAAUUUACAUCUUAUAGACUCAAUUUCCAAAUCUGCGGUCACAUCACAAAAUUUGGAUAAGAAUCAAAUAAGAAAAUGGAGUUCCCGUCGUGGCUCAGUGGUUAACGAAUCUGAUUAGGAACCAUGAGGUUGUGGGUUUGAUCCCUGGCCUCACUCAGUGGGUUAAGGAUCCGGUGUUGCCUUGAGCUGUGGUGUAGGUUGCAGAUGCAGCUCAGAUCCCACGUUGCUGUGGCUCUGGCGUAGGCCUGCAGCUAUAGCUCUGUUUAGACCCCCAGCCUGGGAACCUCCAUAUGCUAUGGGUGUGGCC
This 3037-nucleotide long non-coding RNA is filed under the name Sus scrofa (pig). RNAcentral describes it as "lncRNA (ENSSSCG00000059453.1, ENSSSCG00110013289.1)". The record is from RNAcentral. Lineage: Eukaryota; Metazoa; Chordata; Mammalia; Artiodactyla; Suidae.